This is a non-coding RNA of Podarcis lilfordi (Lilford's wall lizard), 1827 nucleotides long. The record is from the annotation of a GenBank genome assembly. NCBI's taxonomy places the organism in Eukaryota, Metazoa, Chordata, Lepidosauria, Squamata, Lacertidae.
GGAAAAGAGGCGUCCGGGAAUAGAAAGGGACUGAUAAGGACAGAGAGAAACAAGUCAGAGAAUAAAUCAUGUACUCUUCAGGGUCCUGAUACUUAUGAACGCUCAAUCCCACAGAAAAACAACAAAGGGAAAGAAAAGGUGAAGUAUCCAGUGGGGAGGGAAAUACUGAAAAAGUAGUCGGUUGACUUCCCUAUAAAAUUCCAUCAAUGCCCCUAUAGUUUUCAGUGCUUUAGAUUUUACUGUUUCAUAUGUCAUUUCCAUGAAAGGGUUUCCACUAAUAAGAACAUCCAGAUAUCUAAAAAUGCGGGUUUGGUUUGUUCUAUGGCUUGCUGGUCUAAGAACCAUGUAUGCCUACCAAAAACCACAAUAUUGGUCUUAGUUUAUGGAUAAACAUCCCUGCUUGCAAUACACACUAAGCACGUUCAAUAGAUUUUUGAAGACCCAGACGCGGGAGGGAGAGAAACACCAGAUUAUGAAUUUCAGUAGGGACAAAUAUAAGGUGCUACACUUAGGCAGGAAGAACCAGAUGCAAACAUCUAGGAUGGUGGAUACUUGGCUUACUAGCAGUACAUGUGAAAAGGAUCUAGGGCAGGCAUGUCCAAAGUCCGUUUCAGGGGCCUAAUCUGGCCCACUGGUCAGUUUAAUCCAGCCCCUGUGGAAGUUUAUUUUCUGGGGUAAAAUCCUAAAAAAAUCUCUCUCUGGCCGUCUUUGAAAAAAGUUAGGACACCCCUGAGGUCUUGGUGGACCACAAGCUUAACACACUAUUCUAGGCUGCAUCAACAGAAGCCUAGUGUCCAGAUUAAAGGAAGUAAUAGUACUACUCUAUUCUGCCUUCGUCAGACCACACCUGGAAUACUUUGUCCAAUUCUGGGCACCACAGUUUAAGAAGGAUGUUGACAAGCUGGAACAUGUGCAUAGGAGGGCAACCAAGAUGAUCAAAGGUCUGGAAACAAAGCCUUAUGAGGAACAGUUGAAGGAGCUGGGUAUAUUUAGCCUGGAAAAGAGGAGGCUGAGAGAUAAUAGCCAUUUUCAAAUAUCUUAAGGGCUGUCACAUGGAAGAGGGAACGUACUUGUUUUCUCCUGCUCUAGAGGGUAGGACUUUCUGACAUUAAGAGCUGUUCAGCAGCGGAAUGGGCUUCCACAAGAGCGGGUAGACUCUCCUUCCUUGGAGGUUUUUAAGCAGAGGUUGGAUGGCCAUCUGUCAUGGAUGCUUUAGCUGAAAUUCUUGCAUUGCAGAGGGUUGGACUAGAUGACCGCUGGGUCCCUUCCGGUUCUAAGAUUCUAUGAUCUGCAUACACCAGAAUACUGAUAUUUGGGGUAUGUUAAAAAGGGGGUGUAUGGGGUGGUACCUCUGGUGGGGGACACUCAUGCUCCUUCUCAGGUAGUUGGUCCAAUUUUGGUCCCCAGCUUGCACUCAGCUCUCACCUGUGGCUCCUAGAAACUGCCAGCAGGCGACAGCAGUCACACCCUGCGAAACGGCUUCGACUGGCUGGCUAAACCAGGUGAGGGUAGCUGAUGGGUCUCAAACCCAUGGUGAGUUAGGGACUUUCCCUGCAUGCGAAGACGGGCUCUGGUAGAUUGAACAGACAGGAUCACGAGUGGGUCCAGCAGUUGAAAAGGCGCUUUCUAUUGCAGAGGGAAGUGAGGGGCAGAUGGGGCUCACCCAGCUGGAAAAGUGAGCCCAUCUAGAAGGAAAAGUCUGAUCCUUAACCUCCACUGCCUUGCAGGGUAUCUUCAGGAGAGGAAAAGGCUACACAAAUCCAGAGUGGAGUUCGUAAGAUGAUGCCUCGUAUGCUUUCUUCCAGAAACUCCUGUAGCCAAGCUGGU